UCUUCACAAUUAGUUUUUUCAUUUGAUCAUGGUUACUAACUUAGAAGUUGAGAGUGGAUUUUUAUAUUUUAGAGGGAGGAAGAAGGGAAAAAGAAGAGAGUGGGAAGUGAAUACUGCAAUUGAGACUGAGAGAGACUUGAAAAAAACUAAAUGGAGCUUAUUAUUUCUUUACUAUAGAAAUGAGUGGCAUGGGAGAAAAUGGACUGAGGAGAGGGCGUAAAUGGAAGAAGGAGAAGAAAAUGUUGAGACACUGCCUUCUCAUGUAAGGACAUCAAAACAUUUCCUCCCUUCGGAGCAGGCAAGAUAUAGAUUGAAGGGAUUCUUUAUGUCAGAGAUGGCAAGGUAAACAUUCUAUGUGUUUGCCAUGGCCUUUUACACUCUCCGGUUGGAUUUUUCAAGCAAGCCGGUGGAAACAAAGUGGCAAAUCCCUUGCAGCACAUAAUUGUCUGCUUUUCUUCUGAUUAGGUCAAUGGCGUUGGCUCCGUCACCUUGGAAUGUUAACAUAUAGUUAACUAAUAUGUAAACACCCUAAUUUGAGCAAUUAGCUCUCAUUUUAUGGAUUAUUUUGUAUAUUAUCUUAUAUAUAGUCCUCUCCAAUUUAACUGUGGAUGUUUGGAUGGCUUUAAGGUGAUGUCAAAGCUUAUGUAUUUGGCAUAUAGAUAAACUAUUGUUUAGUAUAGGUACCAUAAAGCACAUCAAGCAAACUUCUGGUCUCCUUAUAAUUUGUUAGUUUGCUCUACAUCGAGCCUUUGUAGCUGGUUGGCCUUGCGCUAUAUCCGACAUUUAGCAUAGUUAUUAAUUAUUAAUGUAAGACUACAAAGAUAUUAUCUUGAAUUAUUAUGUAGUUGUAAAGAUCACUAUAUUCUAGACACAGUGAAAAUUAUUGGUAUUAUGUCAUUUAGUAUGUAAUAUUUGUUCCCUAAAAAAUGAGGAACAAUUGACCAAAUUGUGAGUGGCAAUGGGCUAAAUAUUUUAACAAUGUACAUUAACUUCGGAAAUAUAAAACAUAAUUUAUUUUAUUAUUUUGACUGUUUUUGGAUUUAAAUUUGAGCCGUGACUUAUAGUUGGAUUUGAAAAAAAAAAUAUUUGAUCAAUUAGAUCAAAUUCAAAAGAUUGCCAAAAAAAGAGAGAGGUUGAUCUGGACCAUUAAUAACCAACAGUUGAUAAAUUGAAAGACUGAGCUUGAAACCCAAGUUAUUAUCCCUCUGCCCCGAGGGACCAACUGUUAGCCAUUCACCUACAUGUUCAGCGACUUUUAGAAAAAUAUACUAAUUGUGCACAUUAAACUUUCUGAAAUUAGAAAGAAAAUUGCUUUUAUAACGAUUGCACAAUUAGAAUUUUAGAGUGCCAAUAAUAGUUCUCUUUGAACUUUGUAACGGUUAUGUGCAUGUGAGACAUCAUCAGUCAUUUCACGCGAAGUUGAUGAACAUUUUGUCUAUGGCUAACCCAACUUUAUUACCAACAUCACUUGGGUGCUUUAGUGGACAUGAAAUUUAAUACGUAUGUCGUAAAUUGUUUCAGUUAUAUUUUACUUUAUGUAAUAAUCGUCUACUUUCUUUGUAUGUUGACGUGAAACAAGUGAAAGAUAUUUGAAUUUUGUAGUUGAUAUAUAUGUGUGAUAUUCUCUGCCAUUUCAUGUGAAACUGGUGAAUGUUUUGUCUGUGGCUAAACCAACUUUAUAACCACCAUCACGUGAACUGACAAGGUAAUUAAUACGUGGACAUACAGUGUUUUGAUUAGCUUUUACUUUUGAGUAACCAUCGACCACCUUCUUUGUAUGUUCACGUGAAACAAGUGAACACCCAACAUAGGUUUUAUCGUCCAACUUUCUAUAAGCACCUCCCACCUUUCUUUAUGAAUACAUAGAGUGAUAGAUAUAUUCUUCACAAUUAGUUUUCGCAUUCGAUCAUGGUUACCAACUUAGAAGCUGAGAGUGGGUUUUUAUAUUUUAGAGGGAGAAGAAGGGGAGGAGAAGAAAGUGGGAAGUGAAUAGUACAAUUGAGAUUGAGAGGGACUUGAAAAAACUAGAUGGAACUUGUUAUUACUUUACUAUAGAAAUGAGUGGCAUGGGAGAAAAUGGACCAAAGAGAGGAUGUAAAGGAAGAAGGAAUAGGAAAUGUUGAGACACUGCCUUCUCAUAUAAGAUCAUCAAAACAUGUCUUUCCUUUGGAGUAGGCAGGAUAUAGUUUGAAGGAUUCUUUAAACCAGAGAUGGCCAGGUAAAUAUUCUGUGCGUUUGCCAUGGCCUUUUACACUCCCCGGCUGGAUUUUUUCGAGCAUGCCGGUGGAAACAAAGUGGCGAAUCCCCUGCAGCAUAUAAUUGUCUACGCUUCUUCCGAUUAGGUCAAUGGCAUUGGCUCUUUCGCCGUGGAAUGUUAACAUACAGUUAACUAAUUUGUAAACAUCCUAAUUUGAGAAAUUAGCUCUCAUUUUAUGGUUAUUUUGUAUAUUAUCUUAUGUAGUUCUCUCCAAUUAAUUCCGGAUGUUUGGAUGGCUUUAAGGUGAUGUCAAAGCUUAUGUAUUUGGACAUAUACAUAAACCGUCGGUUAGUAUAGGUACCAUAAAGCACACUAAGCAGACUAGUUGGUUUUGCUCUAUAUCGAGCCUUUGUCACUGGUUAGCCUUGAACUACACCGAGAUUUAGCAUAGAGAUUAAUUAUUAAUGUAAGACUACAAAGAUAUCAUCUAAGAUUAUUAUGUAAUUGUAAAGAUCACUAUAAAAUUAUUGCAACUAUGUCAUUGAGUGUGUAAUAUUUGUUCCCUGAAAAAAUGAAGAACAAUUUGUUCCCUAAAUUAUUACCAACAUCACAUGAGCGCUUGAGCGGACAUGAAAUUUAGUACAUGUAUC
Molecule: long non-coding RNA, 2847 nt
Organism: Pyrus x bretschneideri (Chinese white pear)
Lineage: Eukaryota; Viridiplantae; Streptophyta; Magnoliopsida; Rosales; Rosaceae
Exons: 3
Source: RefSeq, a predicted model, not a curated record